GAUGAACGCUGGCGGCGUGCCUAAUACAUGCAAGUCGAGCGAACGGACGAGAAGCUUGCUUCUCUGAUGUUAGCGGCGGACGGGUGAAUAACACGUGGAUAACCUACCUAUAAGACUGGGAUAACUUCGGGAAACCGGAGCUAAUACCGGAUAAUAUUUUGAACCGCAUGGUUCAAAAGUGAAAGACGGUCUUGCUGUCACUUAUAGAUGGAUCCGCGCUGCAUUAGCUAGUUGGUAAGGUAACGGCUUACCAAGGCAACGAUGCAUAGCCGACCUGAGAGGGUGAUCGGCCACACUGGAACUGAGACACGGUCCAGACUCCUACGGGAGGCAGCAGUAGGGAAUCUUCCGCAAUGGGCGAAAGCCUGACGGAGCAACGCCGCGUGAGUGAUGAAGGUCUUCGGAUCGUAAAACUCUGUUAUUAGGGAAGAACAUAUGUGUAAGUAACUGUGCACAUCUUGACGGUACCUAAUCAGAAAGCCACGGCUAACUACGU
RNAcentral lists this ribosomal RNA (496 nucleotides) under uncultured bacterium. Its description in RNAcentral is "partial 16S ribosomal RNA". It matches the Rfam family "Bacterial small subunit ribosomal RNA", at positions 28 to 506 of the family's 1533-position model. The record is from RNAcentral.